Leptinotarsa decemlineata (Colorado potato beetle) is the source of this 463-nucleotide long non-coding RNA. RefSeq lists it as uncharacterized. Lineage: Eukaryota; Metazoa; Arthropoda; Insecta; Coleoptera; Chrysomelidae. The record is from RefSeq and is a predicted model, not a curated record.
ACUGUACGGUAAUUCAAAUAUAUAAAAACAUUUCGGCGGUAAAUAAAAGUAAAUAUUGGGAAUCACAUCAUUAUAUUUCCAAAUAUACAGUUGUGUCAUCAUCCAAAAAAUCCCAGAAAAUAUAAUUUAUAAAUUGAAGAGAGCAUAUUAUAUAAUAACAGUCGUUAUCAACGAUACAAAAUGAAGUUGUUACCAACAUUGCUGUGCGUUGUGUUAAUGAUCACCAUGGGAGGAUGUGCUGCUCAAGAGCCACCUCCAUAUUUUUCCUGCUAUAACUUUUGCAUAUCAAGAAAAAUUGCUGCUACUCAAUCUUGGGAAGAGAAUUGCAACUGUGGAGAAGAAUUCAGAAAAUACAGAAAUGGGUGAAAAUUAACAAUAGAGUCUUAUAUAGAAACACCACGAUUUUAUUUUUUAAUGUAUUCAGUAAACAGUAAACCCAAUAAAUAUCCAUUUUCUGAGACUA